GUAAGGGCGUGUAGGCGGUUUUGCAAGUCUGGUGUGAAAGAUCUCAGCUUAACUGAGGGAGUGCGCUGGAAACUGUAAGGCUAGAAUCUAGGAGGGGAAGCUGGAAUUCCUGGUGUAGGGGUGAAAUCUGUAGAUAUCAGGAAGAACACCGGUGGCGAAGGCGAGCUUCUGGCCAUAGAUUGACGCUGAGGCGCGAAAGCGUGGGGAGCGAACAGGAUUAGAUACCCUGGUAGUCCACGCUGUAAACGAUGUGCACUAGGUGUUGGAUUUUAAAGUUCAGUGCCGUAGCUAACGCGUUAAGUGCACCGCCUGGGGAGUAUGCCCGCAAGGGUGAAACUCAAAGGAAUUGACGGGGGCCCGCACAAGCGGUGGAGCAUGUGGUUUAAUUCGAUGAUACGCGAGAAACCUUACCAGGGCUUGACAUAUUUUUGAUGUUCACAGAGAUGUGGAUUUCUCUUCGGAGACAAUAAUACAGGUGCUGCAUGGUUGUCGUCAGCUCGUGCUGUGAAGUGUUGGGUUAAGUCCCGCAACGAGCGCAACCCCUGCUGUCUGUUGCCAUCAUUAAGUUGGGGACUCAGACGGUACUGCCGGUGACAAACCGGAGGAAGGUGGGGACGACGUCAAAUCAUCAUGGCCCUUAUGUCCUGGGCUACACACGUGCUACAAUGGCAGGUACAGAGCGACGCAAGACCGCGAGGUAGAGCAAAUCGCAGAAAGCCUGUCCCAGUACAGAUUGAAGUCUGAAACUCGACUUCAUGAAGGUGGAAUCGCUAGUAAUCGCGCAUCAGCAUGGCGCGGUGAAUACGUU
Molecule: ribosomal RNA, 808 nt
Filed under: uncultured bacterium
Lineage: Bacteria
Description: bacterial SSU rRNA
Rfam family: Bacterial small subunit ribosomal RNA
Source: RNAcentral